Molecule: ribosomal RNA, 732 nt
Filed under: uncultured Microbacteriaceae bacterium
Lineage: Bacteria; Bacillati; Actinomycetota; Actinomycetes; Micrococcales; Microbacteriaceae
Description: bacterial SSU rRNA
Rfam family: Bacterial small subunit ribosomal RNA
Source: RNAcentral
UGCAGUCGAACGAUGAAGCUGAAGCUUGCUCCAGUGGAUUAGUGGCGAACGGGUGAGUAACACGUGAGAAAUCUGCCCUUGACUCUGGGAUAACCCCGAGAAAUCGGAGCUAAUACCGGAUACGACACCUCCCGGCAUCGGGUGGGUGUGGAAAGAAUUUCGGUCCAGGAUGAGCUCGCGGCCUAUCAGCUUGUUGGUGAGGUAACGGCUCACCAAGGCGACGACGGGUAGCCGGCCUGAGAGGGUGACCGGCCACACUGGGACUGAGACACGGCCCAGACUCCUACGGGAGGCAGCAGUGGGGAAUAUUGCACAAUGGGCGCAAGCCUGAUGCAGCAACGCCGCGUGGGGGACGAAGGCCUUCGGGUUGUACACCUCUUUUAGCAGGGAAGAAGCGAAAGUGACGGUACCUGCAGAAAAAGCACCGGCUAACUACGUGCCAGCAGCCGCGGUAAUACGUGGGGUGCAAGCGUUGUCCGGAAUUAUUGGGCGUAAAGAGCUCGUAGGCGGUUUGUCACGUCUGCUGUGAAAAUCCAAGGCUCAACCUUGGACUUGCAGUGGGUACGGGCAGGCUAGAGUGCGGUAGGGGGAGAUGGGAAUUCCUGGUGUAGCGGUGGAAUGCGCAGAUAUCAGGAGGAACACCAAUGGCGAAGGCAGAUCUCUGGGCCGUAACUGACGCUGAGGAGCGAAAGCGUGGGGAGCGAACAGGAUUAGAUACCCUGGUAGAAGGGC